GCAGCCGGCCGAGGGCUCACGCAUCCCCGGCAUCCGCAAAUGGCCCGAGGCCUAUCUGCCCAAGAUCUACGACC
This 74-nucleotide transfer RNA is filed under the name Goniomonas pacifica. The record is from RNAcentral. Lineage: Eukaryota; Cryptophyceae; Goniomonadida; Goniomonadaceae.